Pelobates cultripes (western spadefoot toad) is the source of this 100-nucleotide non-coding RNA. Lineage: Eukaryota; Metazoa; Chordata; Amphibia; Anura; Pelobatidae. The record is from the annotation of a GenBank genome assembly.
CUCCAGAUGUUGCUGAACUACAACUCCCAUGAUUCUCAGCCUAUCUAUUUCAUUCUAUUUUCAUAGAAUAAUGGGAGUUGUAGUUCAGCAAUGUCUGGAG